GACUAAGCCAAAUGUGAUUUGACUCACCUAAAGAAUCUUGAGAAGGUUUCUCUCAAUCUGACUGGAGUCAAUUUAGCUCAGAAAAGGCUUGUCUUAAUUCAUGAGAUGGAUUAAAGACAACACCUGCUAAUUCCUGACACCUGCCAUUUUCAUUUUAGGAUAUCUAUCAAAUGUUGACAUAUGGUUCUUAAACUGAAGGCC
This 201-nucleotide long non-coding RNA is filed under the name Elaeis guineensis (African oil palm). RNAcentral's name for it is "long non-coding RNA (EGUI_LNC050667)". Lineage: Eukaryota; Viridiplantae; Streptophyta; Magnoliopsida; Arecales; Arecaceae. The record is from RNAcentral.